RNAcentral lists this ribosomal RNA (821 nucleotides) under uncultured marine bacterium. RNAcentral describes it as "bacterial SSU rRNA". It matches the Rfam family "Bacterial small subunit ribosomal RNA", at positions 28 to 896 of the family's 1533-position model. The record is from RNAcentral.
AACGAACGCUGGCGGCAGGCCUAACACAUGCAAGUCGAGCGCUCACUUCGGUGGGAGCGGCGGACGGGUUAGUAACGCGUGGGAAUAUGCCCGGUACUAAGGAAUAGCCUUUGGAAACGAAGAGUAAUACCUUAUACGCCCUUCGGGGGAAAGAUUUAUCGGUAUCGGAUUAGCCCGCGUAAGAUUAGAUAGUUGGUGGGGUAAUGGCCUACCAAGUCUACGAUCUUUAGCUGGUUUUAGAGGAUGAUCAGCAACACUGGGACUGAGACACGGCCCAGACUCCUACGGGAGGCAGCAGUGGGGAAUCUUAGACAAUGGGCGCAAGCCUGAUCUAGCCAUGCCGCGUGAGUGAAGAAGGCCUUAGGGUCGUAAAACUCUUUCGCCAGAGAUGAUAAUGACAGUAUCUGGUAAAGAAACCCCGGCUAACUCCGUGCCAGCAGCCGCGGUAAUACGGAGGGGGUUAGCGUUGUUCGGAAUUACUGGGCGUAAAGCGCACGUAGGCGGACUGGAAAGUUGGGGGUGAAAUCCCGGGGCUCAACCUCGGAACUGCCUCCAAAACUAUCAGUCUAGAGUUCGAGAGAGGUGAGUGGAAUUCCAAGUGUAGAGGUGAAAUUCGUAGAUAUUUGGAGGAACACCAGUGGCGAAGGCGGCUCACUGGCUCGAUACUGACGCUGAGGUGCGAAAGUGUGGGGAGCAAACAGGAUUAGAUACCCUGGUAGUCCACACCGUAAACGAUGAAUGCCAGUCGUCGGCAAGUAUACUUGUCGGUGACACACCUAACGGAUUAAGCAUUCCGCCUGGGGAGUACGGUCGCAAGAUUA